AUAUCAUAAACAUAGUACAGAUUACUGUUAAGACUAGAAGGGAGUGCAAUCAAUUCCUAAUUAAGUUGAAGCUCAAAAAAUUUGCAUCUAGAAUCCUCAUUUCGCGUGUGCAUCAACAGACAUAUAAUACAAGCACGAUUAUUCAUUUGAGCGCUCUUUAUUUGAAGUAACUUUUGGCAUAUGACUAUAUUAGAUUAGAUGUUGGUACCCGAGGAAAAAGUUCAUGUUAUCUUGCCAGCUAAGAAAAGCAAGGAGUAAUCAUUUUAAAUCAUUUUUAGGUAUAUUUGGUUUUAUUUUUUCUCCAGAAUUUGUGCACUUCGCAAUUGGAAAUCAAACAUGUCGUUUCCAGAUUUAUUGAAUGGCAAACUCUCAGGUGAAGAAUGAUAAAACUUGCUGACAAGCUUAAGCAGAAAAAGUAGUUCUCAACAAAUACAGGAUUCAGGCCUCAAUUGACAGUGUGAAUCUGGAAAAGGGAGGGAUGAAUGCUUGGUAGCAUUGUAAAUCUAGCAAGAAAAAUUGCUGAAGCAGCAAUCAUUGAUGGCAAGAACCUCACACAGAUAUAAUCUAGCAAGCUUAGCUCCGCCAGUUAGAGCAGACAAAAGAGAUUAACCAAGGCAAAGGCAAAGACUGACCAAGACAGUGGGGUGGGAGGAAGAAGGAACUAAUAAGGUUCAGAUGAGCAUACGCAGCUACAAGCAUGCUGGAUACACCAAGGAGUUGAAGUUUCGUCCUCGACAAAGCAUGUGAGGAUAGGAAUCUAUCUAUGUAGUUCACAGUCAGAUAAAGAGUAUCAGAGACAAGUUUGUAUUCAUCAACAACCUCCACCAGCCAAUCAACUAGAAUUUCUCGCAUAGUUGGUGUUAUGUCUUUCUGAACCUUCUCCAUGUAAUUGUGCAACGGCCUUCUGUUUCCUUCCACCUAUAUCAUAAGAGCUAGACUAGUAUGAGAUUUUUAUCGAUCUGAACUAAUGAUAACAUACUAAGAGAGGAUGAAUCACUAUGUA
This is a long non-coding RNA of Coffea arabica (coffee), 1003 nucleotides long. RefSeq lists it as uncharacterized. NCBI's taxonomy places the organism in Eukaryota, Viridiplantae, Streptophyta, Magnoliopsida, Gentianales, Rubiaceae. The record is from RefSeq and is a predicted model, not a curated record.